Molecule: long non-coding RNA, 2212 nt
Organism: Mauremys mutica (yellowpond turtle)
Lineage: Eukaryota; Metazoa; Chordata; Testudines; Geoemydidae
Exons: 3
Source: RefSeq, a predicted model, not a curated record
CUCUGGUGACUCUUCUGACUUGAGAGGCAUGAACAGGAUCGGAAGCAAGCUUAAUCUUGCUUUGCUUGGCUGGAAGUUUAGUUGGCCCUGGCAUGAGACUGAGGGGUGGAGAGAGUAAAGAAGGAAAAAUGGUCAUAAAUAACUCAGGAGGAUCAUCAUCAUGAUAAAGCAGAUUGCUUUUUGAAGGAUAAAAUUAGUCACCAAUCAUAUUUACAUUUCCUAGGAGGAUAAGUAUAAUGAAGCAAGACUGUGGUUUUCUGGGCAUGAUCCCAGUUUAUUUGCCGCUAUAAUUAUGCGCUCUUUGAGUUAGUGUAGUAUCAACAGUGCUAGUUGCUCUGUGCUGUUUGGACUUCCUGAGAUAUGAAAGGUCAGGUGGGCAAAGAACCAACACCCACAGACCUAAACAACGGUUGCAUUGAGAUGAUUUGACAAGCUGAUCCUCUUCUCUGGUGACUGUCAUCUUGGUCUCUAAACUUUUCCUUUAAAACAAAAUUAAUUUUUUGUUUUGUUUUUAUGGUUGCAAAGAUGACCUUCAGAAUGUGAAAUCUAUGUAAAUCAAUGCAGUGCUAUCUAACCAAAUCGAUAGACAGCCUGAAACAAAAGCUCUGAGAGAUAUGAAAAGCCCCCAUUCAUUUGAAUGAGAUGUUAACUUUGAACAUUUGUCAAUAUUAUUAGGUAUUUCACUGCUGAGAAAAGGAGAUGGGAUAUCAUGCUAUGAUAAUCUGUACAACAUGUUCAGAGUAGGGUCAUCUAAUUUUUAUGGCACAAGUGAGAAGAGCUUUAGAGACAAUAACCACUUUUUUUCCCAGUCUGCCCAUGAGUGUACAGGUCCAGUUGACUGAUGUAUCUCAGCUUUUUGGAGUCUGGUAAAAACAAAGACUUUCUACUAUCAGAGGCUUGAACAAAAAUAGUUGAAUAUUUCCUUCAGCUUGGUUUCAAAAUGACAGCAACCAAAAAAGUGGCCUUAUACAAUGAAAGAUUUGUAAGGUCAAGAGUGCUUUUACAGUUAGUACUGUCUAUUUCAAGGGAGGGCACACUAUGGCCUGCGAGCCAGAUCCAGCCUGUCAGGGCUUUUGAUCCAGCCUGUGGGAUUGCUAGACCCUUGGCAUAGUGAGGCUAAAGCAGGCUCCCUGUCUGCUCUGGCUCCUUGGGGGGGCAGGCAGAAGGCUCCCAUGUGCUGCCUUCACCACCUGCAGUUCUUCUGCCUCAAGCUACUUCUCAGCAGGAGCCCAGUCUGAAGUAUCAGUAAAAUGUUCCCUCUCACUGAGAGAUACAUAAACACCAUUCACUGAAUGAGGCAUUAUCUAAUGUUGAUCUCCACACAGUUGGUGAUACCACAUGUUUUUGUGCGUUAACUGUUAUCCUGUGUACCUUUGCUAUCUGAGUUGGGCCAAAUCUUGCUGUUGAAUAGGUUCAUUAUUAUCAGUUAAAAACAACUACAAAAAGUCUUAAUUUGAUUAAGAGGAUGCAUGACUCUAUCUAAGGAACCACACAAUUUUGUUGUAACCCCUUGUCCACCUUUCACCCCCUCCACUUACUUUGCUUUUUCUUGUCUAUUUGUCAAAAAUUGCCCUCAGUAAGUACAAUACAAAUUUAGAUUGUAAACUUUGCAGCACCGACUGAGUCUUCUAUGUGUUUUGUAAAGAGCCUAACAUUUUUCUGGGUUCAGUGAAACAAUAAUACAUAUACCUCACAUUGCCUAUAGUUCUGUGUAUAUGUGAAGGUAGAACUGGGUCCUUAAAAUGUGUACUCUUCAGAGUUAAAACAACGAGGAGGCUUUGUGGCACCUUAGAGAAUGACAAAUUUAUUUGGGCAUAAGCUUCCGUGGGUUAAAACUCACUUCAUCAAAUCACCUGAUUUGAUAGGGAUAAACAGUAUGGGCGUAUAUAAUAUAAAAAACAUACUUCAUUCUCCCUGUGGACUCAAGAAUAUCAAAGUAUUUUAAAAAAUCAAACCGAUCUUACCAAAACAUUAUUAAGAAAGAGCUAGUUUUUAAUUACUGUUAAAAUGUAUAAAUAAGUAACUACGUAUUAAGUCCAAUAUUAUACUUGGUGCUGUACAAGACACAAAAUACAGUCAGUCUGCCCCAAAGAGCUUACAAUCUAAACAAGACAGACAUAGACUGGACAGGACUGUUAAGUAUGGAAGAAGGAAAGACUAAAUAGCUAUUUUCUUGAGUUAGGUGGAAAUGAGUCUUUUGUAAGAUGUGAUU